UACGGAGGGUGCGAGCGUUGUCCGGAAUCAUUGGGCGUAAAGCGAGUGUAGGUGGUUGUCCAAGUUGGAUGUGAAAGCCUUGAGCUCAACUCAAGAAAUGCAUUCAGGACUGGAUGGCUAGAGGACCGGAGAGGAUAGUGGAAUUCCCAGUGUAGUGGUGAAAUACGUAGAGAUUGGGAAGAACACCAGUGGCGAAGGCGGCUAUCUGGACGGUUUCUGACACUAAGACUCGAAAGCGUGGGGAGCAAACAGG
This 253-nucleotide ribosomal RNA is filed under the name uncultured bacterium. RNAcentral describes it as "partial 16S ribosomal RNA". It matches the Rfam family "Bacterial small subunit ribosomal RNA", at positions 524 to 776 of the family's 1533-position model. The record is from RNAcentral.